Molecule: ribosomal RNA, 249 nt
Filed under: uncultured bacterium
Lineage: Bacteria
Description: partial 16S ribosomal RNA
Rfam family: Bacterial small subunit ribosomal RNA
Source: RNAcentral
AACGAACGCUGGCGGCAGGCCUAACACAUGCAAGUCGAACGCCGUAGCAAUACGGAGUGGCAGACGGGUGAGUAACACGUGGGAACGUACCCUUCGGUUCGGAAUAACUCAGGGAAACUUGAGCUAAAUACCGGAUACGUCCGAGAGGAGAAAGAUUUAUCGCCGAGGGAUCGGCCCGCGUCUGAUUAGCUUGUUGGUGAGGUAACGGCUCACCAAGGCGACGAUCAGUAGCUGGUCNGAGAGGAUGAU